This 510-nucleotide ribosomal RNA is filed under the name uncultured bacterium. RNAcentral describes it as "partial 16S ribosomal RNA". It matches the Rfam family "Bacterial small subunit ribosomal RNA", at positions 28 to 507 of the family's 1533-position model. The record is from RNAcentral.
GACGAACGCUGGCGGCGUGCUUAACACAUGCAAGUCGAACGAAGAGCGAUGGAAGCUUGCUUCUAUCAAUCUUAGUGGCGAACGGGUGAGUAACGCGUAAUCAACCUGCCCUUCAGAGGGGGACAACAGUUGGAAACGACUGCUAAUACCGCAUACGAUCUAAACUCGGCAUCGAGGAUAGAUGAAAGGUGGCCUCUACAUGUAAGCUAUCACUGAAGGAGGGGAUUGCGUCUGAUUAGCUAGUUGGAGGGGUAACGGCCCACCAAGGCGAUGAUCAGUAGCCGGUCUGAGAGGAUGAACGGCCACAUUGGGACUGAGACACGGCCCAGACGCCUACGGGAGGCAGCAGUGGGGAAUCUUCCGCAAUGGACGAAAGUCUGACGGAGCAACGCCGCGUGAGUGAUGACGGCCUUCGGGUUGUAAAGCUCUGUUAAUCGGGACGAAAGGCCUUCUUGCGAAUAGUGAGAAGGAUUGACGGUACCGGAAUAGAAAGCCACGGCUAACUACGUG